RNAcentral lists this ribosomal RNA (1227 nucleotides) under Triticum aestivum (bread wheat). RNAcentral describes it as "partial small subunit ribosomal RNA". The record is from RNAcentral. Lineage: Eukaryota; Viridiplantae; Streptophyta; Magnoliopsida; Poales; Poaceae.
AUGCACUGUAUGCGACUAGUGCACAUCGCUGCCAUGUCUGCACACCGCGUCGAGAGCGGUGGCAAGCGACGCCGAGAACGUGGCCAUGGCCUGGAACACCGCCGGCAGCGUCCUCUGCACGCCGGCGACCGCCGAGGACCUGGUGGCGUCGAUGGCCAUGGCGUGCCUCUUCAUCUCGCCCUCGAGCUUCCUCCGGCACGCGUCGAUCUCCUCCUUGCGCUGCACCACCUCGUUGUGCGCGUGGUGCACCUGUCGCAUGUCGUGGUCCAUCCAGUGCCUCCCCCGGUUCCACAGCGCGAACCCCGCCGGCGCGUACGAGUCGUAGUGGCUCUUCUCCACCUGCCGCAGCAUCCGGGACUUGCGGUCCAGCUCGCGGGUGCACUGCGCGACGCGGCGCGCCGCCCGAAGCUCGUCGCCCUGGUGCGCGUACAGCGCGUGGGUGGCGCCGGCGAAGUUCUUGAUGGACUUGAGCACCUCGGCGCAGUGCACGCCGUCCAGCGCCUGCCUCCACCGGUCGACGAAGGCGGCGAGCUCCGCGGCGACGGGGGAGGCCGGGGCGCCGUCCGUCGGCGCCAGCGUCAGCUUGAGCCAGCCGUGCAGGGCGGCGACGUAGUCGCGCUGGUGCUUGGCCAGGUGGCCCAGGGCGGCGCACCAGGCCGACAUGGCGGCCUCGAGCGCCCGCGUUGCCCCGUGCUGGAUCUCCGUGGUCGCGUCCAUGGACGUCCGGCCGCUGAGCCCGCGCAGCUGCUGCGCGAUCAGGCCCUGCGCCUCGUGGUGCUGGCGCAUGGCCUUCCACAUGUCGCGCGUGGCGUGGCAGAGCCCCAGCACCUGGCGCGCGAGGUGGGUGUCCCGGAGCUCGGAGAUGGCCGCGGAGCUGGCGUGCGCGGCCUCGGACGCCGUGGCGAGCUGAGCGCGCGCCCUGUCCCACGCGCCCUUGAGCUUCUGGAUGUCCACGUUGACCUUCCUGCUGUACUCCUGGUCCCGGAGCGCCGUCAGCUUCUUGUCGUGAUGGAUCUGCAGCCGCUCCCUCGCUUUCACCUCCUUGUACAGCUUCUUCUCCCAGACCAUGAGCUGCUGCAGUGUAGAGCUAUGCCGCUUGCCGAUCCGGUCGUGCAUGCUGUCGAUCCGGUCGUGCGAAACAGACGGCGACGACGACGACGAAAUGCAGCAAAGCACGCCAAAGAAGCUGCUCGGUACACCUGCAGAAUAUUUCACAUGCACUGUUAA